UACAGAGGUCUCAAGCGUUGUUCGGAUUCAUUGGGCGUAAAGGGUGCGUAGGUGGCGUCGUAAGUGGGGUGUGAAAUCCCGGGGCUUAACCCCGGGACUGCAUUCCAUACUGCGGUGCUUGAGGACUGGAGAGGAGACUGGAAUUUACGGUGUAGCAGUGAAAUGCGUAGAGAUCGUAAGGAAGACCAGUGGCGAAGGCGGGUCUCUGGACAGUUCCUGACGCUGAGGCACGAAGGUCAGGGGAGCAAACGGG
Molecule: ribosomal RNA, 253 nt
Filed under: uncultured bacterium
Lineage: Bacteria
Description: partial 16S ribosomal RNA
Rfam family: Bacterial small subunit ribosomal RNA
Source: RNAcentral